This 400-nucleotide ribosomal RNA is filed under the name uncultured Clostridia bacterium. RNAcentral describes it as "bacterial SSU rRNA". It matches the Rfam family "Bacterial small subunit ribosomal RNA", at positions 20 to 403 of the family's 1533-position model. The record is from RNAcentral. Lineage: Bacteria; Bacillati; Bacillota; Clostridia.
CCGCUCAGGAUGAACGCUGGCGGCGUGCCUAACACAUGCAAGUCGAGCGAGAAGGUAGAGAGUGAUUCUUCGGAUGAGUGAUCUACCGGGCAGCGGCGGACGGGUGAGUAACGCGUGGGUAACCUGCCUUAUACUGGGGGAUAACAUUCUGAAAAGGAUGCUAAUACCGCAUAAGCGCACAGCAUCGCAUGAUGCCGUGUGAAAAACUCCGGUGGUAUAAGAUGGACCCGCGUCUGAUUAGCUAGUUGGUGAGAUAAUAGCUCACCAAGGCAACGAUCAGUAGCCGACCUGAGAGGGUGAUCGGCCACAUUGGGACUGAGACACGGCCCAAACUCCUACGGGAGGCAGCAGUGGGGAAUAUUGCACAAUGGGGGAAACCUAGAUGCAGCGACGCCGCGUG